CAGCCGCCGCGGUAAAACGAGGGGGGCAAGCGUUGUUCGGAAUUAUUGGGCGUAAAGGGUGCGUAGGCGGCUUGGCAAGUCUUGUGUGAAAUCUUCGGGCUCAACCCGAAGCCUGCACGAGAAACUACCGGGCUUGAGUAUUGGAGAGGUGAGUGGAAUUUCCGGUGUAGCGGUGAAAUGCGUAGAUAUCGGAAGGAACACCUGUGGCGAAAGCGGCUCACUGGACAAUAACUGACGCUGAUGCACGAAAGCUAGGGGAGCAAACAGGAUUAGAUACCCGUGUAGUCCCUGUCUCUUAUAA
This 301-nucleotide ribosomal RNA is filed under the name uncultured bacterium. RNAcentral describes it as "partial 16S ribosomal RNA". It matches the Rfam family "Bacterial small subunit ribosomal RNA", at positions 509 to 809 of the family's 1533-position model. The record is from RNAcentral.